UCCCGACAGGCCCCUUUAGACGACUCUGAAGACAGAGACAGACACCUCAUGCAAACUCAUACUUGACAGACUCAUUCACAUCUGACUUACUCUUGACAGACUCUUUCACAACACACUUGUUCAUGUCAUCAAAACACACAUGUACACACUUCAGACAGACUAACCAUUGUCCAUAGAGAUUAUAUUUAUAUGACUAAUUCAUGCAAGUUCAUCAGACAUACAUUCUUCAUAGAAUCAUCACAUCAUGCAUUUUAAGCUCAUUUUCACAGAUGGUUCUAGCAUGCAUAAUACAUUUACAAGUGUCAGCUUAGAGACCCACCUUAUAAUCUCAAUGGUGGAUUAGCUUCAGAUCUAUCCCUUUCUUCUUGAAAUCAACCGUUUGAGCUCUAAAUCAUUCAAUUAGCCAGAUGUUACGACUUUCUCGCCUCAACAAAUAGUGACCUUUUUAGAACUCAUUCGGGUAACCCUUUUACCUCUACUUUAACUAAGACAUAUCACUAAGCCUUAUUUCUUCAAGUAUACUCACAGGUCUGCGUUUCUUUAGUAGACAGAGUUAUGAGACAUACGUUGUUGAGAGAGAGCUUAUUAGUAGAAAUUGGGGGUUUCAGACUCAUUUGAUGAGGGGC
RNAcentral lists this long non-coding RNA (626 nucleotides) under Gossypium barbadense (sea-island cotton). RNAcentral describes it as "long non-coding RNA (GBAR_LNC019803)". Lineage: Eukaryota; Viridiplantae; Streptophyta; Magnoliopsida; Malvales; Malvaceae. The record is from RNAcentral.